CCUACGGGAGGCUGCAGUGGGGAAUAUUGGGCAAUGGGCGCAAGCCUGACCCAGCAACGCCGCGUAUAGGAAGAAGUUUUUCGGAAUGUAAACUAUUGUCGUUAGGGAAGAGAAAGGACAGUACCUAAGGAGGAAGCUCCGGCUAACUACGUGCCAGCAGCCGCGGUAAUACGUAGGGAGCGAGCGUUAUCCGGAAUUAUUGGGUGUAAAGGGUGCGUAGACGGGAAAACAAGUUAGUUGUGAAAUCCCUCGGCUUAACUGAGGAACUGCAACUAAAACUAUUUUUCUUGAGUACAGUUGAGGUAGGCGGAAUUCGUGGUGUAGCGGUGAAAUGCUUAGAUAUCACGAAGAACUCCGAUUGCGAAGGCAGCUUACUAAACUGCCACUGACAUUGAUGCUCGAAAGUGUGGGUAUCAAACAGGAUUAGAUACCCCAGUAGUC
This 441-nucleotide ribosomal RNA is filed under the name uncultured bacterium. RNAcentral describes it as "partial 16S ribosomal RNA". It matches the Rfam family "Bacterial small subunit ribosomal RNA", at positions 338 to 795 of the family's 1533-position model. The record is from RNAcentral.